CCUACGGGCGGCAGCAGUGAGGAAUAUUGGUCAAUGGACGAGAGUCUGAACCAGCCAAGUAGCGUGAAGGAUGACUGCCCUAUGGGUUGUAAACUUCUUUUAUAUGGGAAUAAAAUGUUCCACGUGUGGGAUUUUGUAUGUACCAUAUGAAUAAGGAUCGGCUAACUCCGUGCCAGCAGCCGCGGUAAUACGGAGGAUCCGAGCGUUCUCCGGAUUUAUUGGGUUUAAAGGGAGCGUAGGUGGAUUGUUAAGUCAGUUGUGAAAGUUUGCGGCUCAACCGUAAAAUUGCAGUUGAAACUGGCAGUCUUGAGUACAGUAGAGGUGGGCGGAAUUCGUGGUGUAGCGGUGAAAUGCUUAGAUAUCACGAAGAACUCCGAUUGCGAAGGCAGUUCACUGGACUGCAACUGACACUGAGGCGCGAAAGUGUGGGUAUCAAACAGGAUUAGAUACCCUUGUAGUC
Molecule: ribosomal RNA, 460 nt
Filed under: uncultured bacterium
Lineage: Bacteria
Description: partial 16S ribosomal RNA
Rfam family: Bacterial small subunit ribosomal RNA
Source: RNAcentral